GCGGGGGGUCAGGAUCCUCCACAGUUCCUGAUGAAUAUCUGUUAUCGCUGAAGUUUCUCUUUGGCUCAUCAGCCACCCAGGCCUUGGACCUAGUUGAUCGACAGUCCAUCACCUUAAUCUCAUCACCCAGUGGAAGGCGUGUUUACCAGGUCCUUGGAAGUUCCAGUAAAACAUACACAUGUUUGGCUUCUUGUCAUUACUGUUCAUGUCCUGCAUUUGCAUUCUCAGUGCUACGGAAGAGUGACAGCAUCCUGUGCAAGCAUCUCUUGGCAGUUUACCUGAGUCAGGUUAUGAGGACCUGUCAGCAGCUAAGUGUCUCUGACAAGCAGUUGACUGACAUAUUAUUGAUGGAGAAGAAACAAGAAGCAUAAAAGGACUGCAGGAGGUGCUGUGGGUUGGAGCCGUGGGCUGUGGAGGGUUUGUGUAUGAUGAGAAGCCCUGUACAGUCUUGUCAAGAAAUACCCUGAGCCAGUCUCUGAGACGCUUCGGUAAAAAAUGUCCCUGGAUGGAAUCAAGAUUUUAAAUUCAAAUAAAGCCUAAUAUCAUGUUGUGUCCACA
This 558-nucleotide long non-coding RNA is filed under the name Homo sapiens (human). RNAcentral's name for it is "non-protein coding lnc-ZSWIM7-2:3". Lineage: Eukaryota; Metazoa; Chordata; Mammalia; Primates; Hominidae. The record is from RNAcentral.